Molecule: ribosomal RNA, 439 nt
Filed under: uncultured bacterium
Lineage: Bacteria
Description: partial 16S ribosomal RNA
Rfam family: Bacterial small subunit ribosomal RNA
Source: RNAcentral
CUACGGGUGGCUCCAGUGAGGAAUAUUGCACAAUGGGGGGAACCCUGAUGCAGCAACGCCGCGUGGAUGAUGACGCAUUUCGGUGUGUAAACUCCUUUUAUAUGUCAAGAAAAUGACGGUAGCAUAUGAAUAAGCACCGGCUAACUCCGUGCCAGCAGCCGCGGUAAUACGGAGGGUGCAAGCGUUACUCGGAAUCACUGGGCGUAAAGGACGCGUAGGCGGGUUGGAAAGUCAGGUGUGAAAUCCUACAGCUUAACUGUAGAACUGCACUUGAAACUUCUAAUCUAGAGUAUGGGAGGGGGAGAUGGAAUUCGUGGUGUAGGGGUAAAAUCCGUAGAUAUCACUAGGAAUACCAAAAGCGAAGGCGAUCUCCUGGAACAUUACUGACGCUAAGGCGUGAAAGCGUGGGGAGCAAACAGGAUUAGAUACCCCCGUAGUC